AAUAUAGCAGUUCUCGUUAGAUCACCGAAGUCAAGCAUCAUUGGGCGCGGUCAGUACUUGGGUGGGUAACUGCCUGGAACACCGCGUGCCGUU
Molecule: ribosomal RNA, 93 nt
Filed under: Caerostris darwini
Lineage: Eukaryota; Metazoa; Arthropoda; Arachnida; Araneae; Araneidae
Source: RNAcentral